RNAcentral lists this ribosomal RNA (301 nucleotides) under uncultured bacterium. Its description in RNAcentral is "partial 16S ribosomal RNA". It matches the Rfam family "Bacterial small subunit ribosomal RNA", at positions 509 to 807 of the family's 1533-position model. The record is from RNAcentral.
CAGUCGCCGCGGUAAUACGAAGGGUGCAAGCGUUAAUCGGAAUUACUGGGCGUAAAGCGUGCGUAGGCGGUGAGUUAAGUCUGCUGUGAAAUCCCCGGGCUCAACCUGGGAAUGGCAAUGGAUACUGGCAAGCUAGAGUGUGUCAGAGGAUGGUGGAAUUCCCGGUGUAGCGGUGAAAUGCGUAGAGAUCGGGAGGAACAUCAGUGGCGAAGGCGGCCAUCUGGGACAACACUGACGCUGAGGCACGAAAGCGUGGGGAGCAAACAGGAUUAGAUACCCCCGUAGUCCCUGUCUCUUAUAC